RNAcentral lists this unclassified non-coding RNA (371 nucleotides) under uncultured bacterium. RNAcentral's name for it is "contains 16S-23S intergenic spacer region". The record is from RNAcentral.
UCCUCUUUACAGAGGCAGUUUGAUCCGAGUUCCCGACUUUACUCGCUGGCAACAGAUCAUGAGGGUUGCGCUCGUUGCGGGACUUAACCCAACAUUUCACAACACGAGCUGACGACAGCCAUGCACCACCUGUGCUACACCCUCGAAGGCGACCGCUUUUCGGCGGCUUGCAGUAGCAUGUCAAGUCCUGGUAAGGUUCUUCGCGUUGCAUCGAAUUAAGCCAUAUGCUCCACCGCUUGUGCGGGCCCCCGCCAAUUCCUUUGAGUUUCAACCUUGCGGCCGUAGUCCCCAGGCGGUUCACUUAAUGCGUUAGCUGCGGCACCGAGGGAAACCCCCAACACCUAGUGAACAUCGUUUAUGGCCAAGACUAC